This is a long non-coding RNA of Parambassis ranga (Indian glassy fish), 1690 nucleotides long. The record is from Ensembl. NCBI's taxonomy places the organism in Eukaryota, Metazoa, Chordata, Actinopteri, Ambassidae.
GUUUAACCUGCAGCUGUGAGCAGAGACAAAGGUUUUAUGGCGGAUGAAGGCUUUAAAGGAUCGGUUUCACAGCGUUUAACCCUUUGUGUUCGACUGCUGCUGCUGCAGCUUGAGACAAAGGCCGGCGGGAAACUCAAACUCGGCUCAUCUCAAUUUCAUCAUGUGGAACUAAAUAUGACCUGCUUAAAUCCAGACCCCACAGCUCCGGGCUCCGGGCUCCAGGCUCCGAGCUGGCGCCCGGUCCUCUCCUGCAGACCCGCAUGUUUACAGCAGGAGGUCAGGUGGACCGGAGCCUCCACGCUGUGACAUCACAGUCUGUGUCUACGUGCUGCUGCAUGAAGGAGGAGGCGGAAUGAUCCUUUAAGCCUGAACACUCUGCGCUCUUUGUCUCUCUCUCUCUCUCUCUUCAUGUUUGGCAACCAGGGAACAAACUUGGCAGGAAAACCAGAACCCCCCCCUCUCUCCCCCUCUCCCCCCUCUCUCCCCUCCUCCCCCCCCCCCUCUCUCCUCCCCUUUUCUGUGUUCAGUCAGAGCUCAGUAGCUCAGACCUUCAGACCUGCUGCCUGUCCUCUGCUGGGUCUUUGUCUCUGUGUGUCUCUCAGUGUGAAUGAUGUCCAGGUCCAGGUCCGUCUCAGUCUUUCUGCCGGCUGUCUCUCUGCUGCUGCUGACAGUGGUUUGUGAGGCUCAGUACUACGGAGGCGUCACGCCGUCUCCAGACUACGACUCUGACUACAACGCCACCUUUGAUUACAGCUUCUACAGUAACACCAGCAACGAGGAGCUGGACAGGUUCGGGGAGCGAUUCUUGGAUGAGGAGGACACGGGAGGACAGCAGGAGGACGCUACCACCGCUACCAUGGCAACCGCUGGGCGAACCACAGAGAGAGGGGGGUUUGACGUCCGGAGUGCCGCAUCACUUCCUGUUUCUGUGGAAAUCAGGACGCUCACCUGGACUCUGAUCAGCCUGAUGGCCCUGAACACACAGCAGCUGCAGCACACACUGUGAGACACACACACUCAGCAGCUGCUCCGAGGUCUGUUUGAUCACCUGACCUGAGGUGGGCGGGGUCACUGUGCCUCCUGAACAUGGCCGCCCGGCGCCGUGGGACCAGGUGGACCUCAGCCAAUCACAGACCUUCUUUCUCAGCCAAUCACAGCUCACAGGCCUGAACGCAGACGACUGACGGGGCCGCCAUCUUGUCUGCGCACAGUGACGUCUGCGCACAUGUUUAUACACGUUUGGAAGUUUAUUCAUGCAAAAACUGCCGAGUCAGCACGACGGCCGGGCGAGGCGUGUAGGGAACUCCAAAUAUGGGCAAAGGGGCGGAGCCUCUGCAGCUGUAUAUUAGCUAUGUAAUAAUAAUAUAAACAGGUGUCGGAAUGGUACAGGGAUGAACAUCUGUAAAGAUGUUUACUGUCCGGCCUCUAGUGGACACCGGAGGAACUGCAGUUUGUCCUGUUGGCGUCUGCUCGGUCUUAAACUAAGUGUUAUCAUAAAGACGCGUGAGGCUGAAUAUUAUUUAGUCAUUCCUUCAUCGUCCUCUUCAUCAGGUGGAGGUGGCACAGGUCGGUUGGACCUGGGUCAGUUUUGUCAUGAAUGAGCUUCCAUACAGUGACUCAGCACUUCUUCGUCUUCACCUCCAUGUUUGAUCACUUGGAUGUUUCCUCGUGUUACUCACUCAGUCUGCAG